UUCUGUAAGCCUGUGAAGGUGAGUUGAGAAGCUUGCUGGAGGUAUCAGAAGUGCGAAUGCUGACAUGAGUAACGACAAUGGGUGUGAAAAACACCCACGCCGAAAGACCAAGGGUUCCUGCGCAACGUUAAUCGACGCAGGGUUAGUCGGUUCCUAAGGCGAGGCUGAAAAGCGUAGUCGAUGGGAAACAGGUUAAUAUUCCUGUACUUCUGGUUACUGCGAUGGAGGGACGGAGAAGGCUAGGCCAGCUUGGCGUUGGUUGUCCAAGUUUAAGGUGGUAGGCUGAAAUCUUAGGUAAAUCCGGGGUUUCAAGGCCGAGAGCUGAUGACGAGUCGUCUUUUAGAUGACGAAGUGGUUGAUGCCAUGCUUCCAAGAAAAGCUUCUAAGCUUCAGGUAACCAGGAACCGUACCCCAAACCGACACAGGUGGUCGGGUAGAGAAUACCAAGGCGCUUGAGAGAACUCGGGUGAAGGAACUAGGCAAAAUGGCACCGUAACUUCGGGAGAAGGUGCGCCGGCUAGGGUGAAGGAUUUACUCCGUAAGCUCUGGCUGGUCGAAGAUACCAGGCCGCUGCGACUGUUUAUUAAAAACACAGCACUCUGCAAACACGAAAGUGGACGUAUAGGGUGUGACGCCUGCCCGGUGCCGGAAGGUUAAUUGAUGGGGUUAGCGCAAGCGAAGCUCUUGAUCGAAGCCCCGGUAAACGGCGGCCGUAACUAUAACGGUCCUAAGGUAGCGAAAUUCCUUGUCGGGUAAGUUCCGACCUGCACGAAUGGCGUAACGAUGGCGGCGCUGUCUCCACCCGAGACUCAGUGAAAUUGAAAUCGCUGUGAAGAUGCAGUGUAUCCGCGGCUAGACGGAAAGACCCCGUGAACCUUUACUGUAGCUUUGCACUGGACUUUGAGCCUGCUUGUGUAGGAUAGGUGGGAGGCUUUGAAGCGUGGACGCCAGUUCGCGUGGAGCCAUCCUUGAAAUACCACCCUGGCAUGCUUGAGGUUCUAACUCUGGUCCGUGAUCCGGAUCGAGGACAGUGUAUGGUGGGCAGUUUGACUGGGGCGGUCUCCUCCUAAAGAGUAACGGAGGAGUACGAAGGUGCGCUCAGACCGGUCGGAAAUCGGUCGCAGAGUAUAAAGGCAAAAGCGCGCUUGACUGCGAGACAGACACGUCGAGCAGGUACGAAAGUAGGUCUUAGUGAUCCGGUGGUUCUGUAUGGAAGGGCCAUCGCUCAACGGAUAAAAGGUACUCCGGGGAUAACAGGCUGAUACCGCCCAAGAGUUCAUAUCGACGGCGGUGUUUGGCACCUCGAUGUCGGCUCAUCACAUCCUGGGGCUGAAGCCGGUCCCAAGGGUAUGGCUGUUCGCCAUUUAAAGUGGUACGCGAGCUGGGUUUAGAACGUCGUGAGACAGUUCGGUCCCUAUCUGCCGUGGACGUUUGAGAUUUGAGAGGGGCUGCUCCUAGUACGAGAGGACCGGAGUGGACGAACCUCUGGUGUUCCG
RNAcentral lists this ribosomal RNA (1496 nucleotides) under Pseudomonas aeruginosa. RNAcentral describes it as "partial 23S ribosomal RNA". It matches the Rfam family "Bacterial large subunit ribosomal RNA", at positions 1239 to 2719 of the family's 2925-position model. Lineage: Bacteria; Pseudomonadati; Pseudomonadota; Gammaproteobacteria; Pseudomonadales; Pseudomonadaceae. The record is from RNAcentral.